UUGCACCCCGGCGGCAAGUUUGUCUUUUGGUGCGUUCCUGAGUUUAGUCUCUAAAAUUUUUCGAAAAGUAACAAUUUGAAGUUAGUUGCUGUAAUAGACCAUUACAUUUUUAAAGAAAUUUUUAAAGAAAUGUUAGAUAUACAGUUAUAGUAUAGUCUUGAGAACUGUAAUAGGACUGAAGCAAGAAGGUAUUAUUUACAACAAUUUCCUAAUUGUCGAUUGCCAUGUGAGAAGCUUUUCCAAAGCAUGCACCGACAGCUCUAAACUUGUAAUGUCUGUAAAUAGAUAGAUAGUCGUUUGGGAAUUUAUAUUCAUAGGAACUUUUUUCUUCAUUUUGAUGUGUACGACCUACUCUCAAUGUAACAAGCCACUUUUUUGUUAUAUUCUGUAUAAUGAUGAUUUAUAUAGGAAAUCAUCUAAUGGUUCAAUCCAUCUAUCAUGUAAUGGUUAUAAAGAAACGACUUUGUACGAUGAAGUUAACGUUGCCAUCUUGCAAACGUUAAAAGUUAGAUGCAAUUACAAAGUUGAAAAACGUGACAAGUCUGUUGCAAUGCUUUCGAUAAAAUUAUAAUUAUUUUCCAAAUAAUAAAUUUAUGAUCAAAAUUUAUUAUUUUGAAAAUGAAAUUAACCCUAUAUAGGAAUUAUUACUGUCUCGCUUGAAAUAUACUUAACGAAUUAACUGCAUUUAUAGUAUUAAAUAUUCUUAUUCUUUAUAAUAUAGUAUACCCAGUAAUUUAUAAAUAUUAAAUAAGAAGAGUGCUAAAAAGAAUAAGUAAAGACGUAAAAAAUGCUUCUAUAAAACUAUGAUAAGUCACUAGUUGAAAAGUGAAGGCAUUAAUCUUCUCUUAUUGAGCCAGUAAAUCAAUUUUACUCCAAUUAACAAGGCCACAUCUCAAUCCUAAAUGUCUGCCAUUAGGAUCUAAAUGUGGCCGCCUGCAUAUUACCAAUGUUGAGGCAUUUUUAAGACUGCAGUAAAUAAAUUUUUAUUCCUGAAAGUUCACAACAUUGAUCAUAUAUCCAUAAAAUGUCGUCGUUUUCUGUAUAAGUUCAAUAUUUUUCAAAUUAAUAAAUGGGGAAGUGACUGUUCCAUCUGAUGAAUCUUUUAACUAAAACAUCGUAAUAUAUAUAUCUUCUAACAAUUUAUCUAGAUAAACUAUUAUGUACAAUAACAAUAUCAUAAUAGCUUAACAUUUGUUAAAUUAUGAUGAUGUUAACUGUUUAUUAAAUAUACGUAUUAUUUCAUAUUUUAUAUCACAGAUAUAAUAAUAAAUAUAGUCACAUGGUUUAUUUUCCUUAAUAUUUUGUUGUAAUAAUUAUUAAAAUAAAUUA
RNAcentral lists this long non-coding RNA (1329 nucleotides) under Androctonus crassicauda. The record is from RNAcentral. Lineage: Eukaryota; Metazoa; Arthropoda; Arachnida; Scorpiones; Buthidae.